AUCAUAUUCUCUACCCAAAUGCCU
Molecule: non-coding RNA, 24 nt
Filed under: Arabidopsis thaliana (thale cress)
Lineage: Eukaryota; Viridiplantae; Streptophyta; Magnoliopsida; Brassicales; Brassicaceae
Source: RNAcentral